AGCAGCUAGCUGGACCUGCGUGUGGUCACACCCCUACAGCAGAGUUCUGUAUGCUGGGUCUUGAGAAGAUUAUGGCAGCCCAGUAUUUAUGGGGUUUUUCAUGCUUGGCAAGAUGUGAAAUAGUUUUCCCCGUGAGAUCAGGAUGCUGGUGAUGGUGGGGAGCCACGGAAAAAUAAAUAUGGAGAGAAAACCCAGGAGGUCUCAAGGAAAUAGUCUCGUCUACCAAAAGGUUCUGAAAACAAAGGCGAAGACCCAGGAGGCUUAUGUGGACUUUUAGGAGCUCAUUGACUUCCACUGACACCUUUCAGUUAAACAGCAGAAAAGACAAUCUGAGAAUGUGACUAUUCUACAUCUCAGCAUAGAAACAGAAUACACGGCAACCCCCUACUGUUGAGAACAACUGGGAACAAGAACAAGAACGUGCUUCCAAGCAUCUGCUUGUCAGCUUUCAGAGGUGACAGAAAUACUGCAGAUCGACAUCUGCUGGUGUGUGUUCCAACAUUACACAUGGACUGUAAAACAAAAUCGGGACUGGGUGCUAAUAAACAAUAACGUUAAUGCAAGUUUUAUAUGACAUCAACAGCCUACGAGCGCAAGCACACCCUCUGCAAGGGGAUUACUGGCUAGGUUCAGACGUGGACAGAAUCGCAAAGGGGGGUUUCUAAGGACUUCUUGCCAGCUUUUGCUCCAAAAUAUGACUCCCAUGGAGUGUCAGUGUUUCCAGCAAAGAGACAGGAACUCCCUGAUUUGUUUUGGGUGCAGGUGAAAGAUAAGACCGAUGGAAACAAAAAGGGAAAUACAUUGGGCAACGAGAAUGUGGGAGAGUUGAGACCUCAUACAGCAGGGAAAAGAUAGGCUAUUCCAUCAACAGUUCCAGAAAAGCCCUCCAUUAAAAAAAAACAAUCUCUACGAUGCACCAUAUACCAAUAACUGACAACGGGUUUCAUGUCUUGAAUUAAAAAUAAAUAAAACCAGAAACCAGGUCCAGCAUCAUACUAUAACUGGGAUGAAACCCUAAGUGAUACCCAAGUGCCAGAAAAUGUAAAUUCAGUUACAUUAAAAAUUUUGCAAGAUGUUGUGUAUGUUAUUCCAUCCAGGCAGCACUACAUAAAAGCACAGCAACAUUUUGAGUAAAAUAUAUGUGUCUGUAUUACUUCUAUCAGUUUUUGAAAUGAAAUGAACUCAAAGAUAUUUGCAAUUGAUAGGGCAUAAAUUUCUAGUUUGGACACUGUGCUAUGGUGUAAAACGCUGUUAUCUGGGGAGGUUGGAUGCAUUAUGUUUGCAAUUUCUUCUUCUUCUUCUUUUUUGGACUGUAUUUGAGGCAAGCAAAAGUUCUGGGGACAGGGAUUGAACCCAUGGCACAGUAGUGACAACUUCAGAUCCUUAACCCGCUGAGCCACCAGGGAACUCCUGGAACUCCCGUCUGCAACUUCUUGGGAGUCUUAAAUGAGCACCAAAAAAAAAAAAAAAAAAAAAAAAAAAGAAAGGAAAAAAACAAAACAAAAAACCCUGCAUAAGCAGUAAGGCUUUUUCUAGAACCCCAGUCGCUAAAAAUGAAGCAAAGCAUAGGUGAUUCAGAAACAAAACCAAAAAAGCAAAGAAAUGUACAAGCUCACAAGACAUGAAAACCUACAGCACAGAGACACACACACACCCCAGAGACACACCCCAGACUGCAA
Molecule: long non-coding RNA, 1679 nt
Filed under: Sus scrofa (pig)
Lineage: Eukaryota; Metazoa; Chordata; Mammalia; Artiodactyla; Suidae
Description: lncRNA (ENSSSCG00050000080.1)
Source: RNAcentral